UAGCCUGAGUAAACAGCCGCCCAUUAUUGCUCGUUCCUCACAAGAAUAAACAUCAUUGAGAGGCAUGAGCAAUAAUAGGCGGCUGUUUACUCAGGCUA
Molecule: non-coding RNA, 98 nt
Organism: Paramuricea clavata
Lineage: Eukaryota; Metazoa; Cnidaria; Anthozoa; Malacalcyonacea; Plexauridae
Source: the annotation of a GenBank genome assembly